Sander lucioperca (pikeperch) is the source of this 191-nucleotide long non-coding RNA. RefSeq lists it as uncharacterized. NCBI's taxonomy places the organism in Eukaryota, Metazoa, Chordata, Actinopteri, Perciformes, Percidae. The record is from RefSeq and is a predicted model, not a curated record. The transcript has 4 exons.
ACUACAACAGCAACAGUGACUUCCAGCUCUAAUUACUCAAUGAUGCAGUUUUCAUAGUUUUUCUUCUGACCUAGAUUGACUCAGUGGGAAACCUGACAGUCUUUGUUGUCCACAAUCCUUUUUAGGUCUGGUUGUACUCAGUUGUGGCCACUCGAACAAACGCUUUCACUCAGUUUGUCACUAGAGGGACC